RNAcentral lists this ribosomal RNA (389 nucleotides) under uncultured bacterium. RNAcentral's name for it is "bacterial SSU rRNA". It matches the Rfam family "Bacterial small subunit ribosomal RNA", at positions 30 to 421 of the family's 1533-position model. The record is from RNAcentral.
AUUGAACGCUGGCGGCAUGCCUUACACAUGCAAGUCGAACGGCAGCGGACCUUCGGGUGCCGGCGAGUGGCGAACGGGUGAGUAAUAUAUCGGAACGUACCUUUCAGUGGGGGAUAACGUAGCGAAAGUUACGCUAAUACCGCAUAUUCUGUGAGCAGGAAAGCAGGAGAUCGCAAGACCUUGCGCUGAUUGANCGGCCGAUAUCAGAUUAGCUAGUUGGUGAGGUAAAGGCUCACCAAGGCGACGAUCUGUAGCGGGUCUGAGAGGAUGAUCCGCCACACUGGAACUGAGACACGGUCCAGACUCCUACGGGAGGCAGCAGUGGGGAAUUUUGGACAAUGGGCGCAAGCCUGAUCCAGCCAUGCCGCGUGAGUGAAGAAGGCCUGUGU